Molecule: transfer RNA, 88 nt
Filed under: Pilatotrama ljubarskyi
Lineage: Eukaryota; Fungi; Basidiomycota; Agaricomycetes; Polyporales; Polyporaceae
Description: tRNA-Thr
Rfam family: tRNA
About the family: Transfer RNA (tRNA) molecules are approximately 80 nucleotides in length. Their secondary structure includes four short double-helical elements and three loops (D, anti-codon, and T loops). Further hydrogen bonds mediate the characteristic L-shaped molecular structure. tRNAs have two regions of fundamental functional importance: the anti-codon, which is responsible for specific mRNA codon recognition, and the 3' end, to which the tRNAs corresponding amino acid is attached (by aminoacyl-tRNA synthetases). tRNAs cope with the degeneracy of the genetic code in two manners: having more than one tRNA (with a specific anti-codon) for a particular amino acid; and 'wobble' base-pairing, i.e. permitting non-standard base-pairing at the 3rd anti-codon position.
Source: RNAcentral
UCCCGUUUAGCUCAGUUGGUAGAGCGCGUCACUAGUACGAAUGAGUCGUGCAAUGACGAGGUCAGUCGUUCGAGUCGGCUAAUGGGAA